This 781-nucleotide long non-coding RNA is filed under the name Anas platyrhynchos platyrhynchos (common mallard). Its description in RNAcentral is "lncRNA (ENSAPLG00000023691.1)". Lineage: Eukaryota; Metazoa; Chordata; Aves; Anseriformes; Anatidae. The record is from RNAcentral.
GUUGGCUUAUGCCAGGAGGAAUUUUUUAAUAGCCAGUAAGCAACAGGAUGCAUUGUGCUUGUUUUUUAGUUCUCUACUGUCAGGGCGGUGAGGCACUGUCAUAGGUUGCCCAGAGAAGCUGUGGAUGCCCCAUCCCUGGAGGUGCUCAAGGCCAGGCUGGAUGGGACUUUGGGCAGCCUGGUCUGGUGGGAGGUGUCCCUGCCCAUGGCAGGAACUGGGUGGUCUUUAAGUUCCCUUCCAACCCAAACUAUUCUGUGAUAAAGCACAGGUACAUAGCAAAGGUUUCCAGGUGUGCCAAUUAUAACCAGAUUUAAGAGGCAAAAGCUGCAAGCUAGAUUGCUGCAAGAAGGUAGAAAGGAAAGCUGAACCAGGGAGCAUCCGCCUCCGAGCAGACAGCAGAAAUAAGUGCUGCCUGUAUGAGAUGCCAGAACCAGCACUCCCUCUGAGCCUUCAUGAUAGGGGUAAAAUGCUUCUGUGCUGCCUGAGAGAAGGAAAAGCAGCUGGAAAGGAAACAAAACCAGGAGCACCAGCCAUUCCCAGCUCAGAGCAGACGCUCCUGCUUCACGGUCUGUCUUCCUCUCCAGAGGAUUAUGUGCUACAAAAGUUGCUGGUUUCCAGAAAAACAAGAGGACCUGUGGUGUCUGCAUCGAACAUAUUCCUCAGAGAACCAGAAAUCUCCAGUGGAGAAAGAGGUGGGUUCUUGUUAAGCGCUGGAAAUAGGCUGAAAUGUAAAUGUGUAUUCCUUUCUGCAACGUGCCUAAUUGCCCAUAAAUGUCAUUAA